CAAUAGCGUAUAUUAAAGUUGUUGCGGUUAAAAAGCUCGUAGUUGGAUUUCUGCCGAGGACGACCGGUCCGCCCUCUGGGUGUGUAUCUGGUUUGGCCUGGGCAUCUUCUUGGAGAACGUAGCUGCACUUGACUGUGUGGUGCGGUGUCCAGGACUUUUACUUUGAGGAAAUUAGAGUGUUUCAAGCAGGCACACGCCUUGAAUACAUUAGCAUGGAAUAAUAAGAUAGGACCUCGGUUCUAUUUUGUUGGUUUCUAGAGCUGAGGUAAUGAUUAAUAGGGAUAGUUGGGGGCAUUCGUAUUUAACUGUCAGAGGUGAAAUUCUUGGAUCUGUUAAAGACGGACUACUGCGAAAGCAUUUGCCAAGGAUGUUUUCAUUGA
Molecule: ribosomal RNA, 380 nt
Filed under: uncultured eukaryote
Lineage: Eukaryota
Description: partial 18S ribosomal RNA
Rfam family: Eukaryotic small subunit ribosomal RNA
Source: RNAcentral